Molecule: ribosomal RNA, 816 nt
Filed under: Escherichia coli
Lineage: Bacteria; Pseudomonadati; Pseudomonadota; Gammaproteobacteria; Enterobacterales; Enterobacteriaceae
Description: bacterial LSU rRNA
Rfam family: Bacterial large subunit ribosomal RNA
Source: RNAcentral
UGAUGUGUAGGAUAGGUGGGAGGCUUAGAAGUGUGGACGCCAGUCUGCAUGGAGCCGACCUUGAAAUACCACCCUUUAAUGUUUGAUGUUCUAACGUUGACCCGUAAUCCGGGUUGCGGACAGUGUCUGGUGGGUAGUUUGACUGGGGCGGUCUCCUCCUAAAGAGUAACGGAGGAGCACGAAGGUUGGCUAAUCCUGGUCGGACAUCAGGAGGUUAGUGCAAUGGCAUAAGCCAGCUUGACUGCGAGCGUGACGGCGCGAGCAGGUGCGAAAGCAGGUCAUAGUGAUCCGGUGGUUCUGAAUGGAAGGGCCAUCGCUCAACGGAUAAAAGGUACUCCGGGGAUAACAGGCUGAUACCGCCCAAGAGUUCAUAUCGACGGCGGUGUUUGGCACCUCGAUGUCGGCUCAUCACAUCCUGGGGCUGAAGUAGGUCCCAAGGGUAUGGCUGUUCGCCAUUUAAAGUGGUACGCGAGCUGGGUUUAGAACGUCGUGAGACAGUUCGGUCCCUAUCUGCCGUGGGCGCUGGAGAACUGAGGGGGGCUGCUCCUAGUACGAGAGGACCGGAGUGGACGCAUCACUGGUGUUCGGGUUGUCAUGCCAAUGGCACUGCCCGGUAGCUAAAUGCGGAAGAGAUAAGUGCUGAAAGCAUCUAAGCACGAAACUUGCCCCGAGAUGAGUUCUCCCUGACUCCUUGAGAGUCCUGAAGGAACGUUGAAGACGACGACGUUGAUAGGCCGGGUGUGUAAGCGCAGCGAUGCGUUGAGCUAACCGGUACUAAUGAACCGUGAGGCUUAACCUUACAACGCCGAAGCUGUU